AGCAGUCGCCACGGUAAUACGGAGGGUGUAAGCGUUGUUCGGAAUUACUGGGCGUAAAGCGCACGUAGGCGGCUUGGUAAGUUAGAGGUGAAAGCCCGGAGCUCAACUCCGGAAUUGCCUUUAAGACUGCCGAGCUAGUAGGUGAGAGAGGUAAGUGGAAUUCCGAGUGUAGAGGUGGAAUUCGUAGAUAUUCGGAAGAACACCAGUGGCGAAGGCGGCUUACUGGCUCAUUCUAGACGCUGAGGUGCGAAAGCGUGGGGAGCAAACAGGAUUAGAUACCCGUGUAGUCCCUGUCUCUUAUAC
RNAcentral lists this ribosomal RNA (303 nucleotides) under uncultured bacterium. RNAcentral's name for it is "partial 16S ribosomal RNA". It matches the Rfam family "Bacterial small subunit ribosomal RNA", at positions 507 to 807 of the family's 1533-position model. The record is from RNAcentral.